UGAGCCAGGGAGAAGGGACCAAAUUGCAAGUUGGCAAUUGAGAUUUAUUGAACAUGGGUCACCCCAAAGGUGGGGUGACCAGAUUUCAGCAGGAAACACACAAGCCCUUAAGGGGGGAAGCUGGCCACAAACCCUUGAGUGAGGAGAAGCCCCUGCCCCUCACAUUUGGGUGCCUGGUCCUCCUCCCUUCCCCCUCAGUGUUCUCAGGGAGCUUGAGAGACCCACAGGACUCAAAGCCUGCCUCUGUCCUACAGGCAUGACGUUUCCAUGGGACAUCCCCGGGCAAGGGGAAGGAGGCUGAGUGCAAGAAGUCCCACCAAGGGAGCCAUCAGAAGAAGCCACACCACCUCCAAAAGGGCCAGAGAGGUGUCCCGAUCCUCGUUCUUGGCCGUGACAGUGAACGCCGGGAACGUGUCCGAGCGCUCCACCCUGGGCCGGGAGAUGGUGGUGCACAGCACCAGCUCACAGCUGCUCUGGAAGUCGAAGGAGAAGCCAUCAAAGGACAAGACACAAAAUACACCCAGGCGAAGCCCCUCACCGGCGUCGUGCUGCUCCCCCCGUAGAAGGUGACCUCCUCCCAGGUGACGAUGAAGAGCCAGCGGGCAGAGAAGGAGGCCAUGUCCCUGAAGUGCCUGCGGAUGUCCCUGGAGGCCCUGUGGAGCAGCUCUGGCUCAGUGCUCUCCCUGUAGAAGAUCUCCCCGCGGAUGCCGUUGUGCACGUCGGCCCAGAAGGGCGCCACGAAGGCGCGGCCGUCGGUCAGCGGGAAGGCCUCGGGCGUGAACUGGCUGACCAGGGCGUUGAAGGAGAUCACUCCGUUGUUGUUGACCUGCGUGGAGACCCCCACGGUGUCUGAGCAAGGCUGGUUUGGCAGAGUAGGGCAGCACAGAGAGGCUGAUUUGGCAGGGAGUGUGAACCCAAACCCUCUCUCCCCGUACACAGAGGGUGAGCAGCCUGAGCAUGAUUCGGCUUCAUCUUGUGGGCAAGAGCUGGUGCAGGAAGCCACAAAACCCUGAAAAUUCUUCAAAAUAGGGUUCUGCAGGAGAGGCACCCAUCAGAGCAGGAUGGCACCCAAAUCUACUGAGGGAAUUGCUCAGCUUUGGGGAUUACUCAGCCCUGCAGCACUGAGGGAUGUGGAUGAUGGUGCAGGUGGCUGCAUGGAAAAAACUGCAUUUGGCUCUCAUCUGUGAUAGAUCCUGGUGCUCCCCAAGAGGUGGUUUGGCAGAAUAAGUCAGCACAGAGAGGCUGGUUUGGUGGGAAGUGUGGGGAGAGAAGGUUUGGGUUCAUACACAGACAGGGUGAGCAGCCCGAGCUUGAUUCAGCUUCAUCCUACCCAUGAUGGGCAAGAGCUGGUGCAGGAAGCCCCAAAACCCUGAAAAUUCUUCAAAAUGGGGUUCUGCAGGAGAGGCACCCAUCAGAGCAGGAUGGCACCCAAAUCUACUGAGGGAUUGCUCAGCUUUGGGGAUUUCUUGGCCCUGCAGCACUGAGGGAUGUGGAUGAUGGUCACACAGGGGGCUGCAUGGAAAAAACUGCCUUUGGCUUUGUAAUCUGUGACAGAUCUUGGGGCUCCCCAAAAGCUGGGAGGUGCCACCUCAGCCUCCCCAGAGUCUGCUGAAGAUGCUCCCCAAAACAAGAUUUUUGCAAAGGACGGACAAGAAAUGGCCCUGCUGCCCUGGCUGCUGGAAUCCCCACCAGACAAGGGUUUGGAAUGGGAUUCUGCUCCCCUGUGCCACUGUGCACAAACAGCAGCUGGAGGAGGGAUGAGUCUUUGCCCUCUCUUCUGAUCCCACAGAGACCACAAAACUUGGGAUGUGGCACAGUCACGCUGACUUAAGCCCUGUCUAAGGUUUAGGUGAGCUCAGGUGACCCCUCUCAGCCCAGCCCUGGUGUCCCCUUAGCCAGGCUUUUCUGUGCCAUCACCUGGGAGCAGCAGCAGCCUGUCCUUGUCUGGGGCCCCUACAAAGCUGCUGCCCCUUUUCCCCCCUGCAGGUCCUGCAUGUUCUUGUUUCUUGUCAUGGAGCAGGAAUAAUGUCCCUUGUGUCAAGCCCUUCGCUUUGCUGUGCCAUUUAAUCACCCACAAAGAAAAUUUAUUGCCUUUUAGAUUCCUUUCCUAUGAACAUUAUCCCAUUAAAUAUACCUUUGACUUUCUUAAUCAUAAAACCUAUCAGUUCAUGAAAUCUAAGAACUUGUCAGGUAGCUGCUAAUAAAUCUUCCAAUUCCUGGUGACAGGCAGAGCAUGUUUAAAAUGCAGCCAAUAAUGGCAAGGAAAAGGAUGAAGGGAAGAUCUGCUUUCUCUACUUACAUAAAUGCUUCUGUAUGGGGCUCCAAAAAAGAUGAAUGGCACAGAGAUCUUGAUUUCAGGGGAGCUGCCAUCAUCCACUUUGGGGGUUUUGGUGUCAUUCUGCCAGUAUGGGUACAGGCUUGCCGUGGUGUGAGCUGGAAGGAGAGGGAGAAGAGUCCUCAGGGCAGGGUCUGCACGGUCCUGAUUUCAGAGAGGCCACAGAAAACAGAACCAAACCCCAACAUCAGCAGCCAGAGGGUGCUUGGAGCCAGGGCAGAGCUGUGGGACUGGCUUUAGGCCAGGCUCAGGAGGAAAAGCAUCAUCCAGGCUAGUCAGGGCACAGCAAAGUGACCACAGCUGCAGUUUUUCCUCCCUGGGGCUGUGACCAACCAACCCCCCUAAGUCUUGGCAUCACAGGAGGGCAGCAGGUCCAUGCCCUGCUCCAGGAUGGGCAGGACAGGCUGUUCCACGUGUGAGGUGCUCAGAGGGGCAAGCAGCAGCAAUUCCAGCCCCCAGAGCCACGUUCCUGGCAGUGCCCACCUUCCUCCUGCCAGGGCUCCUGCCCGGCUGACAGCCUGAGGGGUCACGGCUGCUCCCACAUUUCUCUGCAAAAUUCACUUUCCUGCUAAAAGGCACUGCCAGUGAACAUAACUGUCUCUCCCAAAAGUACUUCAGAAGAUGGUUUUGACACAUUUCAGCCUGCUGCUUUUCCACCAGCCUAAAAUCCAUCGGCUUGAGGCACAAGCAGCCACUUCAGCCCCCAGGGCACAUUUCCCUUCUUGGCCCAGCCAGACUUCUGCUGUCAUUUCAUGUCCUGCUCCUCCAGUCAGCUCCUCACAGAGCAAACGGGGACUUUUCUGGCACUGCCUCCCCCUUCUCCCCUCUUUGAUGUAGGAAAGCCUCACGACAUUCAAUCUGGGAUGACAGAGCCCCUGGGCUUGGAACAAUCCUGGCUCUGUUCACCUGGACUUUUCAUUCCCAGAACCCUGCCCUGAGCUCCUGGGGGGCCUCCAGGCUGCUCUGUGAUCCCAGGGACACACAGGGGGCUCUCCUUGAUGCCAACUCUGAGGAUGCUCCAUGCUGAGCAUUGAGGAGUCACUGACCCUUCCCAGGCUCCAAAUUUCCCUGGGAAAAGGGAGAUAAGGGGAAAUCUGGCCUAACCCACUGGCAUCCUGAUUUCCUAAGACACUGGUGUGCCCUGAGUGCCCUGCUGGACACAGGGGAGGUGACCCUGAUGGUGUCCAAGCCACAGCCCUGUUGCCACAGACAUAUCCAAAGGGCCACAGCAAAAUUCCUCCUGCCAGGCAGUAAAAUAAAUAAUUCCACAGCUGUUACACCUCUGAUGAGUUAUCACAGCCAAGGCACAGCUACAGGACAUGGAUUUUAUUCUGGUUUUAAACAGGAGGCUCAGCAGACAUUCCUCAAUUCCUCUUUAGUUCCACUCGUGCCACACUACCUGCUCAGCAGCCCUAACACAGACAUUUGCCAAACUCCUGCUUCCUCUGGAAUGCUCCAGGUGCACACACAGCCACACAAGCUACAAACACAAGCAGCCCUCAGGAUUCUCAGUCCAUCCCUCCCCAUGGCCAACACUCAGGUCACCCUGGUUCUUGUCCUUGCUCCAGCCAAGGAGCUGGGGGUGUUUCCCAAACCCUCUGAGGUGUUUUCCAAACCCUCUGGGGUGGUUCCCAAGCCCUCUGGGGUGGUUCCCAAGCCCUCUGGGGUCUCUGGGCACAGCCCAGCUGGGGAAUAUUUUCCUGCAGGGAGAUACUCACCUCGCUGCUGUGCUGUUAUCACCAAAAGGGCCACCCAGGCUCCCAGAAAUGAUCUCUUGUUCAUCCUACAGGAAGGAGACAAACCCAGCCAUGCAUCACAUUGGUAGGAAAACUCAUCCUUGAGGGGAUUCCCGAAGCUGCCUGACUGCUGCUGACAUGUGGAUGUUUCAGGUGAGGUCCCUCACCUGCCAGACAGCCCUGAAAUGCCUGGUGAUGACAGCAAAUUACUGCCAAAGCAAGCCCAGAACACCUGGAAGAGCUCAUUUCAUGUUUGGGAGCUGUGAACAGCCACAGCUGGGCUCCUUAUUCUCCUGAGCAAUUCCUGAUCUCCUUAGAGCAGGGAUGGCCACUCCUGGCUGAUCCCAGAGGGAGCAGCUCUGCUCCACAGCAGAGCUGUGAUGAGCUCUCAUGGUCCAGGGGCUUCAUCUUCAGCUAAUCCUCUGUCCUGGCUGCCACCACAGCCAUCACUCAGGGGGCUGGAUGAGCGUGGAAGGAGCACAAACAUUUACACAGCUGGGCAGCUCCUUGUACAGGAAUCAAUGAGAGACCGAGAGAGCGAAGACACAAAAUGAAAGCGAAUUCCUGUGCCAGCUCUAAUUCCUUCUGUGCCUAAUGCAAUUUGUUACUCGUUAUUAAUCCAAUAGAAAAUAUUGCUAAAACA
Molecule: long non-coding RNA, 4714 nt
Organism: Haemorhous mexicanus (house finch)
Lineage: Eukaryota; Metazoa; Chordata; Aves; Passeriformes; Fringillidae
Exons: 3
Source: RefSeq, a predicted model, not a curated record